GAUCCUGGGCUCAGGAUGAACGCUAGCUACAGGCUUAACACAUGCAAGUCGAGGGGCAUCAGUUUGGUUUGCUUGCAAACCAAAGCUGGCGACCGGCGCACGGGUGAGUAACACGUAUCCAACCUGCCCACCACUUGGGGAUAACCUUGCGAAAGUAAGACUAAUACCCAAUGACAUCCCACGAAGACAUCUGAAUGGGAUUAAAGAUUUAUCGGUGAUGGAUGGGGAUGCGUCUGAUUAG
Molecule: ribosomal RNA, 241 nt
Filed under: uncultured bacterium
Lineage: Bacteria
Description: partial 16S ribosomal RNA
Rfam family: Bacterial small subunit ribosomal RNA
Source: RNAcentral